RNAcentral lists this long non-coding RNA (243 nucleotides) under Manihot esculenta (cassava). RNAcentral's name for it is "long non-coding RNA (MESC_LNC002276)". Lineage: Eukaryota; Viridiplantae; Streptophyta; Magnoliopsida; Malpighiales; Euphorbiaceae. The record is from RNAcentral.
UAGCAAAUCUUUGGCAUAUGUCACACCUUCUGACGAACUCUUCUGCUUCCCUUUUGACAGUGGGCCAGUAGUAUCCUUGCCUGAAUAUUUUAUUGGCUAAGGUCCCUGCCCCUUCGUGAGCUCCACAUAUUCCCCUGUGUAUCUCCUCCAUCACCCUUGUAGCCUCCUCCGGGCUCACACACCGGAGCCAUGGGCUGGACUUCCCUUUUCUGUACAAGGUCCCCCUUACUGCUUGAUAGUUGG